RNAcentral lists this transfer RNA (68 nucleotides) under Camelus bactrianus (Bactrian camel). It matches the Rfam family "tRNA". From Rfam's summary of the family: Transfer RNA (tRNA) molecules are approximately 80 nucleotides in length. Their secondary structure includes four short double-helical elements and three loops (D, anti-codon, and T loops). RNAcentral also lists the same sequence under 2 other names. Lineage: Eukaryota; Metazoa; Chordata; Mammalia; Artiodactyla; Camelidae. The record is from Rfam by way of RNAcentral.
GGAUAGCUCAGUGGUAGAGCGCAUGCCUAGCAUGCAUGAGGCCCUGGGUUCCAGCCUCAGUAUAUCUA